RNAcentral lists this ribosomal RNA (556 nucleotides) under uncultured bacterium. Its description in RNAcentral is "partial 16S ribosomal RNA". It matches the Rfam family "Bacterial small subunit ribosomal RNA", at positions 355 to 900 of the family's 1533-position model. The record is from RNAcentral.
UAGGGAAUCUUCGGCAAUGGGGGCAACCCUGACCGAGCAACGCCGCGUGAGUGAAGAAGGUUUUCGGAUCGUAAAGCUCUGUUGUAAGUCAAGAACGGGUGUGAGAGUGGAAAGUUCACACUGUGACGGUAGCUUACCAGAAAGGGACGGCUAACUACGUGCCAGCAGCCGCGGUAAUACGUAGGUCCCCGAGCGUUGUCCGGAUUUAUUGGGCGUAAAGCGAGCGCAGGCGGUUUGAUAAGUCUGAAGUUAAAGGCUGUGGCUCAACCAUAGUUCGCUUUGGAAACUGUCAAACUUGAGUGCAGAAGGGGAGAGUGGAAUUCCAUGUGUAGCGGUGAAAUGCGUAGAUAUAUGGAGGAACACCGGUGGCGAAAGCGGCUCUCUGGUCUGUAACUGACGCUGAGGCUCGAAAGCGUGGGGAGCGAACAGGAUUAGAUACCCUGGUAGUCCACGCCGUAAACGAUGAGUGCUAGGUGUUGGAUCCUUUCCGGGAUUCAGUGCCGCAGCUAACGCAUUAAGCACUCCGCCUGGGGGAGUACGACCGCAAGGUUGAAAC